Homo sapiens (human) is the source of this 2394-nucleotide long non-coding RNA. Ensembl annotates it as Alu-mediated CDKN1A/p21 transcriptional regulator. Its record names the gene APTR. Lineage: Eukaryota; Metazoa; Chordata; Mammalia; Primates; Hominidae. The record is from Ensembl.
UUCGGAGGUCAGAGCUCGGCGGGGUGCGGCUAGUGGCGGAGCGCGCUGCGAGGGGAGGGCUUUCCACUGUCGCUGGCGUGAACUCGCGUGCCCGGUGGGUAUCAGGGAAGAACCCCCGCCCCGGACCCCCAGAUCUGCCAUGGCCGAGGUAGCGAUCGUCUCUGCGGCCACGAAGACUGUUUUAACUUGUACCACUUUCCCUUCCAUUUUUCCUGGGGUGCCUCUCACCCUGCAUCUGCGCGUUCAGCAAGCUGGAUUUCGGGAAUGCUCAGUUCAGAAGAGAAAAAAUUGCCGGGAAUCAAGUCCUUCUUUUUGUUAGUCGGUAGUCGAUUGAUGGGAAGUGUUCAAAAUCAUUCGAUGUGGUGACAAGGCUUCACCAGGUACUGCCUUCUAACGAGCUGGCCAUUUCCACAUGUCAGAUAGGACCAACUUGCCUUUUAACUACCCGUGUGAUACUUAAACACUGUUGCCGGUAUCACAGCUUUUCUUCAAAACAGGUAAUAUUAGGGACACUUGAAAUUUGGGAAUUAGAUUUACCUUUGCUGUUACUAAAUAAUUGUUAGAAUUUUAAAUGUCAUAUUCAUUUUACUCAACUAAUCUCUUUAGCUUUCCUAUUUAUAUUCCUACUUAUGAUUACGUGUAAUUCUCAUUGGAAGGAUUAAAAUAUUUUGAAAGUAAGACAGUAAAAUUGUGAAAUACUUUGGUAUUGGUUACAAAACAGUACUUAGGUACCUUCUUCCUGAUUUUUCUGUAUUUUUAAAAAAUAAGGCCAGGCACAGUGGCAAAUGCUUAUAUUCCCAACUGCCCAGUAAGCUGAAGCAAGAGAAUUGCUUGAGCCCAACCUGGGCAACAUAGUGAAACCCCAGUCACCAAUUAAAAACAAACAAACAAAAAGAGUAUAUUUUUUGAAGAUAUUUUAUCACAUAUACAGAAGCAAACAAAGAGGGGAAGGAAUUGUUUAAAAUAAUGUUAAGCUAAAUAAAGUCAAAGAAAAUUUAAGUAAUAGUUAAUAGUUAUUGUUAUAGAAGACAUCAAUUUACUACCCCGUUCUCAAAAAGGAAAAUCUGCAAGUAGACUGUAGUGCUAGAGUAAGCUUUUCCUUAAUUUCAGAAAGCCUGUAUUAAGCAUUUACUUUAUGCCAAACUCCAUUUUAGGGACUGGAAAUAUAAAAUAAAUAAAACACAGUCCCUGCUCUCAGUGAACUUGUUGUCUAGGGAAUGUUAAGUAGAACCACCUGAAAUUGCAUUGUUUUUGUAAGCCAGCUAUCGGUUCCACCUGACAUUAUAUGUGGAAACAGAAAUUUGCAAUAAUAAAGAUAUGACCACGGUGCUACGGGGCACUGACAAAAUGCUUCAUGCUGCCCAGGGCAGUCAGUGAAGGCUCCCCAGGGGAGAUGACGUUUGAGCCGAGUUUCAGAAGAUGAUUGGAGUUUACCACGUGUUCACAGGAAGCAACGAGAAUGAGGGCAUUCCAGUAGCAGGAGACAGCAUGCAUAGAGAUGCUGAUGAAGAAAGAGCCUAGCGCACGUGGGAAACUGCAAAAGUUCAGACUGGUUGGAAUGCUGGAAAUGUUGUGAAUGACAGGAGAUGAGGCUGGCGAGAAAACAGAGGUCAGAUUGUGGAAGGCUGUCAAGCCAAAGACUUUGAUUUUAUUCUUGAGAUUGAUGAGAUGUGUGUAAUCCAGGAGUGUGCAAAACAAUCUGUAAGGGUUCAGAAAACAUACUGCUUCUAUAUAUAGUUACCUUUGUCUUAACUUGAAAAUUUCAAAUUGUGUAGGAGUUACAAUGUGUGUAAUUGUUAUUAUAGUACUGGAUCCAAAUAAUUUAUAAAUAAAUAAAUAUAGACAUAAUAUGGUGUAUUACAGGUUAAAUUGUGUACCUCAAAAAUUCAUGUUUAAGUUCUAACCCUCAUUAUCUCAAACUGUGACCUUAUUUGGAAAUACUAUCAUUGCAGAUGCAAUAGUUAAUGAGGUCAAGUUAAGAAGCAAUAGGAGGCCAGGCAUGGUGGCUCACACCUGUAAUCGCAGCACUCUGGGGAGGCCAAGGUGGGUGGAUCACCUGAAGUCAGGAGAUCAAGAGCAACCUGGGCAACAUGGUGAAACUCCGUCUCUACUAAAAAUACACAAAUUAGGCUGGGCUUGAUGUCUCACACCUGUAAUCCCAGCACUUUGGGAGGCCAAGGCGGGCGGAUCACCUGAGGUCAGGAGUUCGAGACCAGCCUGGCCAACAUAGUGAAACCCCAUCUCUACUAAAAAUACAAAAAUUAUUUUGUAUUUUGGUGGCGGACACCUGUAAGUAAUCCCAGCUACUCGGGAGGGUGAGGCAGGAGAAUCGCUUAAACCUGGGAGGUGGAGUUUGCAGUGAACCAAGAUCACACCACUGCACUCCAGCUUAGG